GGGGAAUUUUCCGCAAUGGGCGAAAGCCUGACGGAGCAAGACCGCGUGGGGGAUGAAGGCUCUUGGGUUGUAAACCCCUUUUCUCAGGGAAGAAGAACUGACGGUACCUGAGGAAUAAGCAUCGGCUAACUCCGUGCCAGCAGCCGCGGUAAGACGGAGGAUGCAAGCGUUAUCCGGAAUUAUUGGGCGUAAAGCGUUCGUAGGUGGCUGUUCAAGUCUGCCGUUAAAGACCGGGGCUUAACUCCGGAAAAACUGUGGAAACUGAACAGCUAGAGUAUGGUAGGGGUAAGGGGAAUUCCUGGUGUAGCGGUGAAAUGCGUAGAUAUCAGGAAGAACACCGGUGGCGAAGGCGCCUUACUGGGCCAUAACUGACACUGAGGGACGAAAGCUAGGGGAGCGAAAGGGAUUAGAUACC
RNAcentral lists this ribosomal RNA (415 nucleotides) under uncultured cyanobacterium. Its description in RNAcentral is "bacterial SSU rRNA". It matches the Rfam family "Bacterial small subunit ribosomal RNA", at positions 356 to 786 of the family's 1533-position model. The record is from RNAcentral. Lineage: Bacteria; Bacillati; Cyanobacteriota.